RNAcentral lists this ribosomal RNA (468 nucleotides) under uncultured bacterium. RNAcentral describes it as "partial 16S ribosomal RNA". It matches the Rfam family "Bacterial small subunit ribosomal RNA", at positions 28 to 507 of the family's 1533-position model. The record is from RNAcentral.
GAUGAACGCUGGCGGCGUGCUUAACACAUGCAAGUCGAACGGAAAGGCCGAAGCUUGCUUCGGUACUCGAGUGGCGAACGGGUGAGUAACACGUGGGUGAUCUGCCCUGUACUUCGGGAUAAGCUUGGGAAACUGGGUCUAAUACCGGAUAUGACGAUCUCUUGGAUGGGGUUGUGGAAAGCUUUUGCGGUAUGGGAUGAGCUCGCGGCCUAUCAGCUUGUUGGUGGGGUAAUGGCCUACCAAGGCGUCGACGGGUAGCCGGCCUGAGGGGGUGUACGGCCACAUUGGGGCGGGGAUACGGCCCAGACUCCUACGGGAGGCAGCAGUGGGGAAUAUUGCACAAUGGGCGCAAGCCUGAUGCAGCGACGCCGCGUGGGGGAUGACGGCCUUCGGGUUGUAAACUCCUUUCGCAAUCGACGAAGCCUUUUGGUGACGGUAGGUUGAGAAGAAGCACCGGCUAACUACGUG